GACGAACGCUGGCGGCGUGCUUAACACAUGCAAGUCGAGCGGUAAGGCCCUUUCGGGGGUACACGAGCGGCGAACGGGUGAGUAACACGUGGGUGACCUGCCCUUAGCUCUGGGAUAAGCCUGGGAAACUGGGUCUAAUACCGGAUAUGACUCCAUGACGCAUGUUGUGGGGUGGAAAGCCUUGUGCGGCUAGGGAUGGGCCCGCGGCCUAUCAGCUUGUUGGUGGGGUGAUGGCCUACCAAGGCGACGACGGGUAGCCGGCCUGAGAGGGCGACCGGCCACACUGGGACUGAGACACGGCCCAGACUCCUACGGGAGGCAGCAGUGGGGAAUCUUGCGCAAUGGGCGAAAGCCUGACGC
This 360-nucleotide ribosomal RNA is filed under the name uncultured bacterium. RNAcentral's name for it is "bacterial SSU rRNA". It matches the Rfam family "Bacterial small subunit ribosomal RNA", at positions 28 to 389 of the family's 1533-position model. The record is from RNAcentral.